Molecule: ribosomal RNA, 394 nt
Filed under: Eimeria christenseni
Lineage: Eukaryota; Apicomplexa; Conoidasida; Eucoccidiorida; Eimeriidae
Description: SSU rRNA
Rfam family: Eukaryotic small subunit ribosomal RNA
Source: RNAcentral
GGGGACUAUUUAUGCUCUGUAGAUGGAAUGAUGGGAAUGUAAAACCCUUCCAGAGUAACAAUUGGAGGUAAGUCUGGUGCCAACAGCCGCGGUAAUUCCAGCUCCAAUAGUGUAUAUUAGAGUUGUUGCAGUUAAAAAGCUCGUAGUUGGAUUUCUGCUGUGGUCAUCCGGUACCGCCCGUAUGGGUGCGCACCUGGUUUGGCUGCGGCUUUCUUCCUGUAGCCGUCCGCGCUUAAUUGCGUGUGCUGUGUUACGGAACUUUUACUUUGAGAAAAAUAGAGUGUUUCAAGCAGGCUUGUCGCCCUGAAUACUUCAGCAUGGAAUAAUAGGAUAGGACCUUGGUUCUAUUUUGUUGGUUUCUAGGACCAAGGUAAUGAUUAAUAGGGACAGUGGG